Molecule: long non-coding RNA, 4029 nt
Organism: Neopsephotus bourkii (Bourke's parrot)
Lineage: Eukaryota; Metazoa; Chordata; Aves; Psittaciformes; Psittacidae
Exons: 2
Source: RefSeq, a predicted model, not a curated record
UUUUUACUUUUUUUUUAUAUUUAAACAAUUAGAUUUUUAUUUGUCACCACUUUUCCUGGUUCACAAACCCAUUGCAAACAAUGCUAGAAUGAGGGUUGAGAGAUUCAGAAAGAGGCCAUGUUCCUGCUUUGCAGCCCCUAAAUAUUUACCCCAGAGAAAUCAUCUGGAGCAAAAAAUAACAUUGACAGAUGAAACUACAUGAGAUGCCCUAAUCAUGUGUUACACCAACUGCUGUAAAAGAGAAAACAGGAAUGUCACUGAAGUAUUGCAGUGGAGCUGUUUCCCUUCCAGGGCAAUAAUGGGAUUUGGCCAGUUCUUUGUGUCAACCCAAGAACUUCUAGUAGGAUCAUGUGGAUGCAGAUCAGGGAGCUCUGCCAUUACCUCUGUACUCCAUGCCUGCCACAGCUCAAAUACAGUAGGAAAAGGGGCCCAGAUUUCACAAUCCAUAACUUUUAAUUUAUACAGCAUUACCAGUAUCCUGCAAUAGCUUCUAGCUUCAUGUGGAGAAGGAAAAUUCAUUGUGUUACUGCAAUGAGUGAAAUGCAUUGCUUCUGGCAUCUGAAUCUAAAAUUUAGUGUAAAAGCCACUGCUUGUUGCAGGACCAAAUUCUGCCAAGUUAAUUUUGGGAUGACAUUUAAUUUUAAGAGAAUUUAUAUUGUCCCUCUGAGAAUUUGAGCUUCACAAGAUCCUAUUUCCUUAAAACCAGGGAAUGCAGCACUGUAAUUAGGGUACAGAGCAUGGCAGGUAGCACAGGAAUUCAGUGCUCACAGUAUUUUCCUGGGAAGUCUUAUGAACUCAUCCUAACUUUGGACAGGUUGAAAUUAGUUGAGUGGAUACUGCAUGUGUCUAAUCUCAGAUUUAUCCAUGCUGCUUAGCACAAGGUUCAAGAAAAUUUCCGUACUAAAGAUGAAGAUGGUUCCCUUCAUGGUAAAGCAUUGGUACCAUCUGACGAGCAAAAAAAAUAUUUGCGUUGCAGAUAAGGAGGGCAAACAAUAGUGGGUAAGUGAGCAAGAAAGCAAACAGAAUGGAGCAUCUGGAAAUAAGGGAAAUAUCCUAGCUCCUAGGUAGCAAUUCAGCCCCCUUGGUCAUCAGUGCUGUGUUGGGCUGCUUCAGGAUUAAGGUGAAUUUGUUCUGCUGUCGUCAACACCCAUGUUUGCUACACACCAGCUUUAUCGUAGCUUCCCAAGGAAACUUGCAGUGUGCUUGCUCUGCAACAAAACCUGGAAACAGUUUUUCAGAAUCCUACCUAGAAAUUUUAAAUCCUUUCAUUGUUGUUCUAUAUUACAUCAUAUUCUAUUUUAUUACUUGUGUGGGCUGUCGAGGGCCUCAUAACUGUGCUAGUGCUUUCAUCCUUUCCUUUUCCACUGUAUAUUUUAAUAAGACCUCUUUUAUAUUUUUGUAGCUUUCAUGCUGAUGCAAGCACUAGUUUUAUUUCCAGAUUGAUUCUGUAAACUAAAUAUUGUUCUUGAGCCUGGUAGCAAAUCAGCUCUCUCUGGCUAGUAUUUUGAAUUCCCAGCUCAGGAGUUUUCUUCAUUUAGAGCUUGAUUCAUAAAAAAUUUACAUGCUAUUUAAAGAUUAUUUUUUCUUGCUUUACUCUGAUGCAAGUUUAGAAUUCCCUCUUUUACACUCAAAUUAAAAAAAAAAAGGAUAUAUUCUAUGCUUGUGAAAUCUGUUCUGUAGACAAAGUCUUCUACUGAAAAUGGAACAGGUGCAGCUUGGGCAAUUAUAUAUAAAUUGCAUUUAUCUGGCACCUUUGACCACUUCGCUGUGCUCUGGCCACUAAUCCAUCUCCAUUGGGACUACAGCUAACAUCCAAACCCCCAAGCAACUUCAAAAGAGCUGCCUUCAAAAAAUAAAAACAAACUGUCACAGAAAUGUUUCCUUCUUUUCUCCAAAGAGUGGGAUUUCUGUUUGGCCCCCUCCUACAGAAAAAAGACCCACUUGCCUUAGGCAAAGAAUGGGUGAUAUUUAGUUUGGGACCAGUGACGGCUUAUGGUCUGAUGUCUUACGACUUUUAAGCCACUGCAAAUGGGAAACUCAUAGCUUUUUCAUUCAAAGGCUUUUAGCCCAGGAAGACUGAGAGAUACUUACUGUUAGAGGUUUUUUGUUGUUUUGUUUUGACAGAAACGCAAUUCUAGAGACUUUGCAAAGAGAUUAGUUAUAAUUUCCCCUCUGUAAAUUGAGUGCAGGCCCCCGUGGGAACCUCGUUUUGCAGAUGGUGGAAUAAAAAAGAGCCCAAACAUUGCCUUCAGAUAUUUGAGAGAGAUUUAUCACUCAGUUUCACUGCAAAAUGUGACAUCUACCUUACACAUCUACCUGAUAACACAGAGCGUUCUGUGAGCCCUCAUGUGAGGUGCCAUGGGUAUCUCUCAGCUCAAUCCCCAUGGAUGACACAGGUCGUCUGAAAUGAAACUGGGUAAAAUGUGGGGUGGGAUGUUCAAAUCUGUUUUCUUUCAACCCAUCUAGUCCACUGAUAUGAUAUUGCACAACUAUGCUCUUACCUCAUGCUAACUAAAUAUCUGACAAAGCAGCCAGAACUACUUAAAGUUGUAGGUUCUUCCCAACCACCCGCAGGUGUAGGUCUCCCCACCUACCUACAAUUCUAGGUUCUCCCUAUCUACCUACAGCUGUUGACUUAUCCUCAUCAACCUACAAUUGUAGAUUUAUCCCCAUCCCCAGUGUAAAAUACCUUACUUCAGCUUUAUUUUAUGGCCUACUAAUCCAUUGUAGGGAUUAGGUACUCUUUUUCAAUGGAUGAAAUACUGGGUUUUGCACACAGGGGAAAAAAAUAAUUCUCCCACAAAUGUUCAGAAACACGAUACAUUUAAAAACAUAUUUCAAUUAGUGUUGUAACAGCUGCACGCUGUGCACUGCUAAGGUAUGUUGUAUGGUGUCUGAACAAAGAACUUUGCUCAAGCUGUCAUGUUCCCUCAGAUCAAAACUGAGUCCUUGAUACGGAUGUGGUAGACUAAAUAGCUCUAGUAUAGCCUUUUUAGUACUAAUAUAAAUUAAUAUGAAAAUACAAAGUAUUUUAAUCUUCUAAUUUCUAAACUAAUGUAUAAAAUAUAGAUGAUUUCCUGCCAGGCUACCACUUUGCUGGCUGGAGGGAGGCCCCAGGUAUCACGAGCAGGAAACGCAGCAUUGAGUGAACACUGCAUGCAAGGGAUGAGCAAAGCAGAUAACGGCUGAGUGACAGGCACAUAGCCCAGCCUCAGGGAAGGGCAGGUGGAGACAGGUCUGGAUGAGAAGCAGUGGAGGUGGCUGACUUCUGUUUGAAGAGAGAAAAAGUGCUGGACAAUUGGAUGGAGCACAGCUAUGGGGUGAGAAGGGUGUAAUGGGCAUUAAAAAAUCAGGAAAUAACAGAGAAGGAGCAUUGCUGUGGAGAAGUGGAACAAGAUGAGGGUUGGACUUACUGAUGUUGGGGAAAAGUAAGUCAGAGGAAGAGACUGAGACAGCGUGGGCAGUUCAGUGAGGAGGAGGACACAAAAAAGUCCUGAGGAAAAGCAGAAGGACUAUGAGGAAAAAAAAAAAAAGAACAAAAUUAGCAACUAUGAAGAUACUAGCAAAGGGAUGGUAGUGUGCUGCUCUGAGUGAGCUCAGCAGGACACCUAGGAUAAGACAGGAAUGCAGGCAGGCCUAUCAUCUGGUGCAUCCAGCUAGGUGGUCAGUGGCAUUGGAAAAGCUCCCAGCUCACUUGCGAAGGUUUUCUUUGGGCAGUGCUGAGGUUUAAGGAGUGCUUAGGUCAAGAGUGCUUUGGGAUCUUAUGCUAAUUCGAGUAAGCGACUAAAUCGUGCUAAAAUCUCCUGAGCUAUGACUGUGGGAUUUCUCCACUGUGGCAAACUUCUGCUCCUAAUCCAGGUAGUUGCCUCACAGCUCUGGAUUUGGUGCACUUUCAGAUCAAGGCAGAAAUGCAUAAUUAGGAAACAGAUUAUAAAAGCAAUACUGCUAUAAUCCAGUAUAUCAAGCUUGAAUUUUCAGUUUUACUCUAAGGGGAAUUAAAGAAGAAAAAAACACAACAAAAAAACCCAA